Molecule: ribosomal RNA, 395 nt
Filed under: Paraphysomonas bandaiensis
Lineage: Eukaryota; Chrysophyceae; Chromulinales; Paraphysomonadaceae
Description: partial Bacterial large subunit ribosomal RNA
Rfam family: Bacterial large subunit ribosomal RNA
Source: RNAcentral
GGGGGUGUCCGAAUGGGGAAACCUGGAAUGUCCGGAGUAGUGUCCGGUGGCCCUGCCCUGAAUGUAUAGGGGUGUGGGUGGUAACGCGGGGAAGUGAAACAUCUUAGUACCCGUAGGAAGAGAAAACAAGUGUGAUUCCGUGAGUAGUGGCGAGCGAAAGCGGAGGAGGCUAAACCGUGUGUGUGUUCAAGCCGGCAGGUGUUGCAUGUGCGGGGUUGUGGGGGCCUUGUGGUUCUGCUGCCGCAGGAUUGGCCAGUGAGAAAUGUUGCGUGAAGGUGAAGCGUCUGGGAAGGCGUACCGGAGUGGGUGAGAGUCCUGUAACUGUAAGCGUGGCACUGGUGUGGGGUUGCCCCGAGUAGCGUGGGACUCGUGGAAUUUCGCGUGAAUCUGGCGGG